RNAcentral lists this ribosomal RNA (1498 nucleotides) under Clostridium botulinum CDC_1436. RNAcentral describes it as "bacterial SSU rRNA". It matches the Rfam family "Bacterial small subunit ribosomal RNA". The record is from RNAcentral. Lineage: Bacteria; Bacillati; Bacillota; Clostridia; Eubacteriales; Clostridiaceae.
GAGUUUGAUCCUGGCUCAGGACGAACGCUGGCGGCGUGCUUAACACAUGCAAGUCGAGCGAUGAAGCUUCCUUCGGGAAGUGGAUUAGCGGCGGACGGGUGAGUAACACGUGGGUAACCUGCCUCAAAGUGGGGGAUAGCCUUCCGAAAGGAAGAUUAAUACCGCAUAAUAUGAGAGAAUCGCAUGAUUUUCUUAUCAAAGAUUUAUUGCUUUGAGAUGGACCCGCGGCGCAUUAGCUAGUUGGUAAGGUAACGGCUUACCAAGGCAACGAUGCGUAGCCGACCUGAGAGGGUGAUCGGCCACAUUGGAACUGAGACACGGUCCAGACUCCUACGGGAGGCAGCAGUGGGGAAUAUUGCGCAAUGGGGGAAACCCUGACGCAGCAACGCCGCGUGGGUGAUGAAGGUCUUCGGAUUGUAAAGCCCUGUUUUCUAGGACGAUAAUGACGGUACUAGAGGAGGAAGCCACGGCUAACUACGUGCCAGCAGCCGCGGUAAUACGUAGGUGGCGAGCGUUGUCCGGAUUUACUGGGCGUAAAGGGUGCGUAGGCGGAUGUUUAAGUGGGAUGUGAAAUCCCCGGGCUUAACCUGGGGGCUGCAUUCCAAACUGGAUAUCUAGAGUGCAGGAGAGGAAAGCGGAAUUCCUAGUGUAGCGGUGAAAUGCGUAGAGAUUAGGAAGAACACCAGUGGCGAAGGCGGCUUUCUGGACUGUAACUGACGCUGAGGCACGAAAGCGUGGGUAGCAAACAGGAUUAGAUACCCUGGUAGUCCACGCCGUAAACGAUGGAUACUAGGUGUAGGGGGUAUCAACUCCCCCUGUGCCGCAGUUAACACAAUAAGUAUCCCGCCUGGGGAGUACGGUCGCAAGAUUAAAACUCAAAGGAAUUGACGGGGGCCCGCACAAGCAGCGGAGCAUGUGGUUUAAUUCGAAGCAACGCGAAGAACCUUACCUGGACUUGACAUCCCUUGCAUAGCCUAGAGAUAGGUGAAGCCCUUCGGGGCAAGGAGACAGGUGGUGCAUGGUUGUCGUCAGCUCGUGUCGUGAGAUGUUAGGUUAAGUCCUGCAACGAGCGCAACCCUUGUUAUUAGUUGCUACCAUUAAGUUGAGCACUCUAAUGAGACUGCCUGGGUAACCAGGAGGAAGGUGGGGAUGACGUCAAAUCAUCAUGCCCCUUAUGUCCAGGGCUACACACGUGCUACAAUGGUAGGUACAAUAAGACGCAAGACCGUGAGGUGGAGCAAAACUUAUAAAACCUAUCUCAGUUCGGAUUGUAGGCUGCAACUCGCCUACAUGAAGCUGGAGUUGCUAGUAAUCGCGAAUCAGAAUGUCGCGGUGAAUACGUUCCCGGGCCUUGUACACACCGCCCGUCACACCAUGAGAGCUGGUAACACCCGAAGUCCGUGAGGUAACCGUAAGGAACCAGCGGCCGAAGGUGGGAUUAGUGAUUGGGGUGAAGUCGUAACAAGGUAGCCGUAGGAGAACCUGCGGCUGGAUCACC